GUUAUCGUUUAUUUGAUAGUGCCUUAUUACUCGGAUAACCGGGGUAAUUCUAGAGCUAAUACGUGCUUCAAAUCCCAACUUCACGAAGGGAUGUGUUUAUUAGAUUCAAAGCCAAUGCCUUCGGGGCUUUUACUGGUGAUUCAUGAUAACCGCUCGAAUCGCACGGCCUCGCGCCGGCGAUGGUUCAUUCCAAUUUCUGCCCUAUCAACUUUCGAUGGCUGGGUAGUGGCCAGCCAUGGUGACAACGGGUAACGGAGGGUUAGGGCUCGACCCCGGAGAAGAAGCCAGAGUAACGGCUUCUACAUCCAAGGAAGGCAGCAGGCGCGCAAAUUACCCAAUCCCGACUCGGGGAGGUAGUGACAAUAAAUACUGAUACAGGGCUCUUUUGGGUCUUGUAAUUGGAAUGAGUACAAUUUAAAUCCCUUAACGAGGAACAAUUGGAGGGCAAGUCUGGUGCCAGCAGCCGCGGUAAUUCCAGCUCCAAUAGCGUAUAUUAAAGUUGUUGCGGUUAAAAAGCUCGUAGUUGAACCUCGGAACUGGCCGGCCGGUCCGCCUCACCGCGUGCACUGGCUCGGCCGGUUCCUUCCCGCUGGGGAACCGCAUGCCCUUUACUGGGUGUGUCGGGGAACCAGGACUUUUACUUUGAAUAAAUCAGAUCGCUCCAAGAAGGCCUUCGCUCGGAUGCAUUAGCAUGGAAUAAUGAAAUAGGACGCGCGGUUCUAUUUCGUUGGUUUUUAGGACCGCCGUAAUGAUUAAGAGGGACAGUCGGGGGCAUCAGUAUUCAGUUGUCAGAGGUGAAAUUCUUGGAUCUACUGAAGACUAACUACUGCGAAAGCAUUUGCCAAGGAUGUUUUCAUUAAUCAGGAACGAAAGUUGGGGGAUCGAAGACGAUCAGAUACCGUCGUAGUCUCAACCAUAAACCAUGCCGACUAGGGAUCGGACGAUGCUAUUCUAUGGCUCGUUCGGCACCUUACGCAGAAAGCAAAGUUUUGG
This 993-nucleotide ribosomal RNA is filed under the name Meliola telosmae. RNAcentral describes it as "SSU rRNA". It matches the Rfam family "Eukaryotic small subunit ribosomal RNA", at positions 109 to 1109 of the family's 1831-position model. The record is from RNAcentral. Lineage: Eukaryota; Fungi; Ascomycota; Sordariomycetes; Meliolales; Meliolaceae.